AAACCAACUGGGAUUACCUUAGUAACGGCGAGUGAAGCGGUAAAAGCUCAAAUUUGAAAUCUGGUACUUUCAGUGCCCGAGUUGUAAUUUGUAGAAUUUGUCUUUGAUUAGGUCCUUGUCUAUGUUCCUUGGAACAGGACGUCAUAGAGGGUGAGAAUCCCGUUUGGCGAGGAUACCUUUUUUCUGUAAGACUUUUUCGAAGAGUCGAGUUGUUUGGGAAUGCAGCUCAAAGUGGGUGGUAAAUUCCAUCUAAAGCUAAAUAUUGGCGAGAGACCGAUAGCGAACAAGUACAGUGAUGGAAAGAUGAAAAGAACUUUGAAAAGAGAGUGAAAAAGUACGUGAAAUUGUUGAAAGGGAAGGGCAUUUGAUCAGACAUGGUGUUUUUGCAUGCACUCGCCUCUCGUGGGCUUGGGCCUCUCAAAAAUUUCACUGGGCCAACAUCAAUUCUGGCAGUAGGAUAAAUCAUUAAGAAUGUAGCUACCUCGGUAGUGUUAUAGCUUAUUGGAAUACUG
This 512-nucleotide ribosomal RNA is filed under the name uncultured Hanseniaspora. RNAcentral describes it as "eukaryotic LSU rRNA". It matches the Rfam family "Eukaryotic large subunit ribosomal RNA", at positions 62 to 573 of the family's 3401-position model. Lineage: Eukaryota; Fungi; Ascomycota; Saccharomycetes; Saccharomycodales; Saccharomycodaceae. The record is from RNAcentral.